RNAcentral lists this long non-coding RNA (348 nucleotides) under Salvia miltiorrhiza (redroot sage). RNAcentral describes it as "long non-coding RNA (SMIL_LNC003025)". The record is from RNAcentral. Lineage: Eukaryota; Viridiplantae; Streptophyta; Magnoliopsida; Lamiales; Lamiaceae.
CCGUCCCGUCCCCGUCACCCGACGCGCGGCCGUGGACUUGGACUUGGAUCUUGGCAAUUGGUCUUUGGGUGGUCUUUGGGCUGGUCUUUGGGCCUACCCUAGGCCCACAUCGACCCUUAUCUUUUUGGACCAACGAAAACUUGGUUCGAAGGAGACGAGGCCCAACUCGGUUGGGCCUACGCGCAUGCACACGAAGCCCACUCGGGCGUGGCCCGGGAGGACCCUUGGUCUCCCAGGAAGCUUCCACAUAAUUGCAGGGCUGUUACACAUCUGUAACCGCCGUCGGAGGAUUCAUGGCAGGAUUCAAACAGCAGGGCUGUUACGUCCGUUACUGCUGUAACCCCCGAC